Verticillium albo-atrum is the source of this 181-nucleotide small nuclear RNA. It matches the Rfam family "U2 spliceosomal RNA". Rfam says of the family: U2 is a small nuclear RNA (snRNA) component of the spliceosome (involved in pre-mRNA splicing). Complementary binding between U2 snRNA (in an area lying towards the 5' end but 3' to hairpin I) and the branchpoint sequence (BPS) of the intron results the bulging out of an unpaired adenosine, on the BPS, which initiates a nucleophilic attack at the intronic 5' splice site, thus starting the first of two transesterification reactions that mediate splicing. The record is from Rfam. Lineage: Eukaryota; Fungi; Ascomycota; Sordariomycetes; Glomerellales; Plectosphaerellaceae.
AUUCAUUCUCUACAGAUCAAGUGUAGUAUCUGUUCUUUUCAGAUUAGUCUCUGAAAUCCUUCUACGGAAGGAACAAUGACUAAUUUUAUUUUUGAACUCAGGAGAGCUUCCUCUUUGCUUGCAAAUGUAGCUCUCCACAGUGUCCCCAGUAUCACACUGCCUCUGGGCGACGCGAACCUUU